This 484-nucleotide ribosomal RNA is filed under the name uncultured bacterium. Its description in RNAcentral is "partial 16S ribosomal RNA". It matches the Rfam family "Bacterial small subunit ribosomal RNA", at positions 30 to 507 of the family's 1533-position model. The record is from RNAcentral.
AUUGAACGCUGGCGGCAUGCCUAACACAUGCAAGUCGAGCGGAUGAAGGGAGCUUUCUCCUGGAUUCAGCGUCGGACGGGGGAGUAAUACCUAUGAAUCUGCCUCGUAGGGGGUGGUAACGUCCUGAAACGGGCGCUAAUACCGCAUGCGUCCUGAUGGAGAAGGUGGGGGGUCUUCGGACCUCACGCUAGCAGAUGGGCCUAGGUGGGGGUAGCUAGUUGGUCGGGUAAGGGCCUACCAAGGCGACGAUUCGUAACUGGUCUGAGUGGCUGAUAAGUCACAUUAGAACGUAGACACGGACAUGAGUACUACGGGAGGCAGCAGUGGGGAAUGUUGAACAGUGGGGGAAAGUAUGAUACAGUGAUGGCGAGUGUGAGAAGACGGUCUCCGGAUUGUAAAGAAGUUUAAGGUGGGAGGAAGGGCAGUAAGUUAAUACCUUGCUGUUUUGACGGUAAUAACAGAAUAAGCACCGGCUAACUUCGUG